This 465-nucleotide ribosomal RNA is filed under the name Vreelandella stevensii. RNAcentral's name for it is "partial 16S ribosomal RNA". It matches the Rfam family "Bacterial small subunit ribosomal RNA", at positions 338 to 795 of the family's 1533-position model. The record is from RNAcentral. Lineage: Bacteria; Pseudomonadati; Pseudomonadota; Gammaproteobacteria; Oceanospirillales; Halomonadaceae.
CCUACGGGGGGCAGCAGUGGGGAAUAUUGGACAAUGGGCGAAAGCCUGAUCCAGCCAUGCCGCGUGUGUGAAGAAGGCCUUCGGGUUGUAAAGCACUUUCAGUGGGGAAGAAAGCCUUGGGGCUAAUACCCUCGAGGAAGGACAUCACCCACAGAAGAAGCACCGGCUAACUCCGUGCCAGCAGCCGCGGUAAUACGGAGGGUGCGAGCGUUAAUCGGAAUUACUGGGCGUAAAGCGCGCGUAGGCGGUCUGAUAAGCCGGUUGUGAAAGCCCCGGGCUCAACCUGGGAACGGCAUCCGGAACUAUCAGGCUAGAGUGCAGGAGAGGAAGGUAGAAUUCCCGGUGUAGCGGUGAAAUGCGUAGAGAUCGGGAGGAAUACCAGUGGCGAAGGCGGCCUUCUGGACUGACACUGACGCUGAGGUGCGAAAGCGUGGGUAGCAAACAGGAUUAGAUACCCGAGUAGUC